RNAcentral lists this ribosomal RNA (253 nucleotides) under uncultured bacterium. RNAcentral describes it as "partial 16S ribosomal RNA". It matches the Rfam family "Bacterial small subunit ribosomal RNA", at positions 524 to 776 of the family's 1533-position model. The record is from RNAcentral.
UACGUAGGGGGCGAGCGUUGUCCGGAUUUACUGGGCGUAAAGAGCGUGUAGGCGGCCAAACAGGUCCGUUGUGAAAACUGGAGGCUUAACCUCCAGACGUCGACGGAAACCGUGUGGCUAGAGUCCGGAAGAGGAGAGUGGAAUUCCUGGUGUAGCGGUGAAAUGCGCAGAUAUCAGGAAGAACACCAAUGGCGAAGGCAUCUCUCUGGGACGGUACUGACGCUGAGACGCGAAAGCGUGGGGAGCGAACAGG